GCUCAGAGAGGGUGUCCGCCUUGCCAAAGAUCACAUAGCUGGCGAGGGGACAGGGUGAGGAUUCAAACCCAGAGCCACUUGUCGCCUAACCUCCAUGCUCUCCUGCCAAAGAGGAACAAGUGUUCAUCUGGCCGUCUCUCUGCCGCCCACAAGGAGCCAGGAAACCCUGGGACUGAGCCGCCGGAAAUGGAUGACCUCAGCCAGCCUCCUUGUUUCACAGACGAUGGGGAAAGUGGAAAGGGCCAGGGACUGGCCCAAGGUCUCGUCCUGCGACCCAUUCUCAUUCCCGGACUUUACUCUCCCCGGCAACCCCCGGAAGGAGCUAGGGAAAAACCUUCAGAGACAUCCCUGGGGAAGACAGCUGGAAGGCAGGGCGUGCCAGGGCUGUAAUGGUGUGGUGAUGAGGUGGUGACGAUGGGACUGUUUCCCCCUUUUGAGAAAUGCUCUGGCGUCAGACAAGUCCUGGGGGGCGGAGGGCUGCAGCCACAGUUCACGUCCCUCCCACGCACGUCCGCGUUCCAGGCCCGGAUGCUCCGCGCCCCGGGCUCCGGCGAAGGGCACGAAGCCACUGAUUAGGAAGCGAAAAGGAAAAAAAAAGUCCCGGCUUCUAGAAAGACUUGAAUGUUCGACCCCUGCCUGAGUCUGACUUGGCCCUGCAACGCCACCAAGUACACGACUUGGAGUUUGUCGCCUACCUGCUCACAGGCCUCGGCGCGCGCGUUAAGGUGGUGGAGACGGCGGCCGCAGCCCUUCCCUCUCCAGUUUGCUUUCUAGAGGCAGGUUGAGAGAAGAAACGUGUGAGCGUGUAAUUACAGAAUGGGAUCAGGUGAGGAAGGAGACAGACCAGGUGCAGGAUGGAAAUGGGCAGGCGGUUCCUUUAAAAUGAAAUCUAACCCUUUGGGGCUGCGCCGGGCUGGCUAAAUUUGUCACGUGUCUGAGGCCUUAACUCCUGCCAGCCACCCAGAGCCCUUGUGGCCCGACUGUCACUUUGCCGGGUGGAUCCUGGGUCACCUUCUGAACUCUCUGCCUGCCUGGUGAGCCCCUCAGGGGCCAGGAAGCCUGGUCGUAUCUCACACUCUGGAGACUCAUGGGAAUUCCAUCUAACGCAUGUGGCCCAGAUCCCUUUGGUUUCGAAGCCAGGCACUGGUGAGACACAUAAAGAAUACUUCUUGAGGGGAUGGGCGUCCCCACACUCCAGCUGACUGUAGGAAGGACAGGAGGAAGAAGGGCUGUCAGCAAAGGAAUCAUGCUCAGGAAACCGUCCAUGCCGGAAGUCAGCCCGGGAGCCCUACUGGACCCAGAAUGUCCAUGUCACACACACAGGCUGGUGGACUCAGAAAGGCACAUCACACACACAGGCUGGUUAGGAGAGACGAAGGGUUGAGGGCAAAAAACUGACUGAUCAGCCUCUCCUCCGGAAGUUUGGGCCCUCAGAUGUUGCCUCGAUUACCUAUCGCAAGGAAGAAAUGCCAGAAUUCACCCAGGCCCUUGCUGACGCAGGGCACUAGAGAGAGAGAAACCACUGGGCUGAUUAUCUUGGCUUUAUCCUCCACAUCUGUUUCAGCUCAGCAUCUCUGCUUCUCAUCUUUAAAGAGAUGGCUGCAAGGCUAGAGAAUCUCAGAGCUGGAAAGGGUCUGAGAGACCUCACAUCUCACCUCCUUCUUUCGGAGAUAAGAGCCGUGUCACUUGAGAGGCCGUGACUCACUCAAGGCCACACGGCGUGGGGGGUGGGGGGUGCGGGGUGGGGAGCUGGGAUUGCAGCUCUCCCUUCCCAGGCCAGAGCUUUUCCCAGUUCUCCAAGCUGCCUCUCGGAUCCCGCCAAGUUGUUCCCACGCUGGCCUGGUUUAGGCCUCAUUAGUAAGAAAAGCUGGCUGUGGUCCUUUCUCAUCCCCCCACCCCCACUGCCUCUCGAAAAAGAAAGGAGAUGCUCUUCCAGAACAGAGCCAGGAUGGUUUUGCUUGUCAUCUGAUGUCUGGGAGUGCCCAUGCCAGGCUCCACUCCAGGGGUACAGCUCCUUGCCCUCACAUGGUGUCAUAAAAGAAUUCACCCUCCUGCCAACCUUGAGCAUAGAAGGCCGUUUCUCAGCUGGGACUCAAGCCACCUUGGGGGCCAAGACAUCAGAGAGACUGUGCUCGGCUCUUACCAGCUGUGUGCUCCUUGGCCAAGGUCUGUCCUUGGAAGGCAGGUGCUCCCCAAGGAGUCCCAACCCCAUUUCCUGGCCAGUCACCUUCACCCAAGCCAAGUCGAGACUCUCUCUGGAAGGUGCUCCACAUCCAUUCUGGAAGGGAGGAAUAUUCCCACCUCCAGUCCUUUUUUUAUUUCCAGCCACACUUCCAGUAGUCAUGUACGGAUAUGAAAGUUGGACUAUAAAGAAAGCUGAGCGCCGAAGAAUUGAUGCUUUUGAACUGUGGUGUUAGAGAAGACUCUUGAGAGUCCCUUGGACUGCAAGGAGAUCCAACCAGUCCAUUCUGAAGGAGAUCAGCCCUGGGAUUUCUUUGGAGGAAAUGAUGCUGAAGCUGAAACUCCAGUACUUUGGCCGCUUGAUGCGAUGAACUGACUCCUUGGGAAAGACCCUGAUGCUGGGAAAAAUUGAAGGCGGGAGGAGAAGGGGACGACAGAGAAUGAGAUGGUUGGAUGGCAUCACCGACUCAAUGGACAUAAGUUUGAGUAAGCUCCUGGAGUUGGUGAUGGGCAGCGAGGUGUGCUGCAGUCCUUGGAGUCCCAAAGAGUCAGCCACGGAGGAGCGACUGGACUGACUGACACUGCGUGGCUUAUGGGAUCUUAGUUCCCCGGUGUACAUGCUAAGUCGCUUCAGUUGGUUGACUCUGCGACCCUAUGGAUCAUUGCCCGCCAGGCUCCUCCAUCCAUGGGAUUCUCCAGGCAAGAAUACUGGAGUGAGUUGCUAUGCCCUCCUCCAGGGACUCUUCCCACUCAGGGAUGGAACUCCCAUCUCUUGCGUCUGCUGCAUUGACAGGUGGAUUCUUUACCACUAGUGCCACCUGGGAAGCCCCUUAGUUCCCCUACCAGGGGUCAAACCCCGGGCCCUUGGCAGUGAAAGCACUAACCACUGACCACCAGGGAACUCCCCCUCCCUAUUUUUUUUUUUUAACAGAUGUGGAAAUCCAGGUUCAGAGCGGUUAAGUUACCUGCCCAUGGUCACCCAGCUAGUGAGGGGCAGAGUCAGAAUUUGAACUCUGGUUCAAACCCAUCUCUUUCUGUGGCACCCCUCCACGUGCCCCAAAGGAGCUCGAGGCAUCUCAAGACACCCUUCCCGUGCUCAGAAGUAGUCCCCCCUGGCUUGCCUGGGUGCCUGAAACCCCCCCACUGGAGUAUCUGCUGCUGACCCCAGCCUUUUAAGCAGGAAAGGCCAGGGAUGGACAGGGGGAGGGUAUACAAAGGUUUGAUCAGGGUGGGACCAACCUGGGCCCCAGGGGCGAGGGCUUGGGGGCAGGGGAAGUGGCCCAGGGGAGAAAAGGCUGACUGGGGGAGGCGGGGCCCAGAGGCUGGCAGGACAGGGCAUGAGGGAGCACCAGUGGGGAUGAGGGAGGCUCCCUCCAAACCCCACAGGGCCGGCUCUGGGGCAGGGACUGGCUUUGGAGUGGAAGGGCCCAGCGUGACUGGGAGGCAUUAGUCAGCGGUGGAGGUUUAUGAAAGGAGGAAUUGUCCGGAGCCUCCUUACUCACCAGGCCAACUGGGCUGUCCCAGAGAGCGGGAGCAGGGCCGGUAUCAGAAGGGGACCGGGAACUCCGAGCUGCUCACUGCCCAGGUUGAAUGGCCCCAGGCAUCUGGGGGCCACGCUCGGGGGCCCUGUCCGGCCUCACGGCCUGUGAGUCACAGUCCUUGGCUGGCGGGCUGAGUGUCUUCAUUGUCCUCUCGGCCAGGGGACAGCGGGGCCCGACUCCCUCCUCCUGGGAGAAAGGACGCCCCGGGCUGAUUCACCAGUUUAUCACCCUGCUGCCCCCUCCGUCUGAGGCCCCCAGCAUAUUCACCUCCCAUCCCUUCUUCAGUCUUUCAUACAGUCAUUCUUUUUCUUAUUGUUGUUUUGCGUCAAUCUUUAUUUUUCCAAUUUGCAACAGUAAUCUAUUGACUGUUAUUCCGCCUUAAAAGGGGAUGAAAUACUGACCUACGCUACAGCAUGGAUGAACCUUGAGGACACUAUGCUAAGUGAAUAAGCCGGCUGCAAAAGGACAAAUUCUGUAUGAGUCCGUGCAUGUGAGGUUCCUAGAAUAGUCAAAAUCUUCAGGGCAGAAGUUAGAGUAGAGGUUGACAGGUCAAGGGGAGAAGGCAGCAGGCUUUGUGCUUUAAAGGUGCAGAGUUUGAGUUCGGCAAGGUGGAAAGUGUUCUGGAGAUGGACCGUGUUGAUGGUGGCAAAGCAAAGCUGAUGUACUGAGACCGUACACUUCAAAAU
Bos taurus (domestic cattle) is the source of this 4408-nucleotide long non-coding RNA. Lineage: Eukaryota; Metazoa; Chordata; Mammalia; Artiodactyla; Bovidae. The record is from Ensembl.